This 75-nucleotide transfer RNA is filed under the name Pantoea sp. Sc1. Its description in RNAcentral is "tRNA-Gly". The stretch from base 21 to 75 matches the Rfam family "tRNA", at positions 1 to 54 of the family's 71-position model. From Rfam's summary of the family: Transfer RNA (tRNA) molecules are approximately 80 nucleotides in length. Their secondary structure includes four short double-helical elements and three loops (D, anti-codon, and T loops). The record is from RNAcentral. Lineage: Bacteria; Pseudomonadati; Pseudomonadota; Gammaproteobacteria; Enterobacterales; Erwiniaceae.
AGGUAGCCGAGUUCCAGGAUGCGGGCAUCGUAUAAUGGCUAUUACCUCAGCCUUCCAAGCUGAUGAUGCGGGUUC